This 6608-nucleotide long non-coding RNA is filed under the name Coffea arabica (coffee). RNAcentral describes it as "long non-coding RNA (CARA_LNC003047)". The record is from RNAcentral. Lineage: Eukaryota; Viridiplantae; Streptophyta; Magnoliopsida; Gentianales; Rubiaceae.
UAUAUAAUUGCCUGAGUUGGCGUCUGACCGUGGAAACCAACAACAAGCGCAACUGGACUAAUGUCCCGGCAAUAUGCGGGUUCUACGUUGCAUACUACAUGACUGGCAGGCAAUACGGUUAUGACUGUGAAGCCGUGGUUGCUAUUGCCAUCAAGUAUGUUAAGAGUCUCUCCAUACCCACAGAUGGCAGGAGCAUUUGGAUCUUCGACAUCGAUGACACUGCACUUUCUAACUUGCCCUUCUUCUCCAGGCCGGACGUUUUCUUUGGGUAAGUAACGAUUUUUAUUUUCCCACCAUCUUUAACCUGUGGAUUACUGCGUUAUUUUGAUAUUUUGUGUCCUGUCGUUUUAGGGUGAAGACGCUUAACGCGGAGUUGGAGGCUGAGUUUUAUGAAUUUAUUCUGACGGCAGAAGUACCAGUACUUGCAGCAACUCUGAGGUUGUACCAAGCUACAGUCGAGGCGGGGAUUAAGGCUGUCUUCCUGACUGGAUCAUCAGAACGUUCUGCAGAUGCAAGGGCUAAGAAUUUGAAGGCAGUUGGAUACGACACCUGGGAAGAGCUCAUUCUCAAGUAAUCUUUACUUUCUCCUGCUUCUAGUUCUUUUGCAUCGCUAAAGUAAGCAGUAAUUAUUGCGUCUUGUGAGUAAUUGGUUCUUCAUUGUGUAGUAGAGGAAAAAGGUACAUCAAUUAGUCGAAAUACCAGAUGGGAUCUUGAUUAUUAUUAUUACUUUUUUGGGGUUUGAUGAAUGCAACUUGGGAUGAAAAUCUGAAGUCUGUCGAGGUUACAAUUGCAUGCACCAUGAGCUUUUGGCAAAUACUACUUUUACUAGUGUUUUAUUAGACUAGAAUCUGGCAAAUAACUCCUGCUUGUCUACAGAGAUUGAAGAACAGAGUACUCCUGCUUGGUAUUUUAACAGCCACAUAUUCAUUUUAGGAGGCGCAAUGAAUUUUUAACUUUAAAUUAGGCUUCUUCUUUUUUGAGUACUGAUCCCAGGAGAACUUUGGUUGGUGCACGAUCGCAGGCCCGACUCUGUAAACACAUCAGUACAAGCUUUCAAAUCUCAGGUGAGAAAUCGGCUGGUGGUCCAGGGAUACAGAAUUGAAGGAAACAUUGGAGACCAGUGGGCUGAUAUAGUCGGGUCCAAUGUUGGUCGCCGGACUUUCAAGCUACCAAAUCCUAUGUACUACGGUGCCUACUAAUUUGGGUGCGGGAGAUGCAACCCAAUUGAACUUAGGUCCUUGUCAAGCCGAUCUUCAUGAUCGUUGAUCAGUUUCUCUGAGAAUAAAUGGGUUUUGAACUAAGCUUGACUCAAUUAUGUAUAAACUCUUGCUUGCCCUGUUCUCGUGUCAAUCGACCCUUCGUACUGGAAAGUUUGUGUUUUUCCCAAGCAAUAAAUGGCUAUGCUGUAAUACAGCUUGAAAUGAAGUCCGACAUUUAUGGUCCCGUGCAAUGACCUGUGUUCUUUUAACCUGUUGCAGUAAACAUCUAGCCGAGUAAAAAAAGUAUUAUGGUAUUAGAACACAUCAUUUGGGCUAAUUUCUUAAAACGUAGCUCUUGCAAAGGCUUCUCAAUUGCUAAAUUGGAAACAAUGGACAACACAUGUGUUGGGAAUGUUAUCCCAAACAAACAAACAAAUUCUAUUUUUGUUGUGAUGUUAUCCAAGAGUUUAACUUAUUGCUUGAAUAUUUUGUAUUAUACAUGAAACGUUAUCAAUAAUUAUUCCUUUUUUUUUUUUACAAAAAUAGUUUGAAUAUUUAUAUAUUAUCCAGUAACACAUUUCUCACAUUCUCAUUAGUAAAAUUUAAGUACGUAAUUUCUCAAAGAAUGUUGUCAUUUCUUAUUAAGUGAGUCAACAUGUGUUGACUUCUAAUACUUAUCCAAUGGCUUAGUCCUUAUUUGGAUUGUUAAUUUUUGUGGAAAAAUUCUAUAUUUUUCAUGAAUAUUUCUUUUACAUAUUUUUUAAUCAUCUUUUUUAUCUCGCAUAUAUUACAUCUUAAAAAAAAAAGAGUUAUAAUAAUUAUUUUCCAAAAACUCUUCAAGAUAUGCCAUCCAACUGACCUCUUAGUCUAGUUAGAUAUUGUGAAUACACACCAGGUCAGUUGAUAAACACGGAUCAUUUUUUUGUUAAAAAAAAAAAUUUGACUUAUGAACUGACAAACUUGUCUUAAAACGUGGUGGUGAACAAAAGCAAAAUAACCCAAUCUUUGUUUUAUUUAAAAAUUCUAAAUAACUAUUUGCUAAAUGUUACAAGUAAAGGGGAAAGAAAUUACUUACUUGGGAAAAAAAUAUCUACCCAUUUCGCCUGACAGCACGAGGGACCUUGGUUCUUUUUUGUUUUGACAAUGUGGCCGGUAUAGAUUUAUACCCCUCCCUUGUCAAAGUUACAUUUGGUAGACCUUUUUUUUUUACCGAAUAAUCUGAGAAAUUAGCCCAUCAUUUGGCUAUUAAAAAUAUUAACCGCUGUUGUCCAUGUAAAGGUAUUAAUAUUGAUUAAGGUACUAAUAUUACCUGUUAAUUUAACUAUCUCUGAAUCACUUACAAGUAUAAAUUGUGAAUACUAAUGGAGUUGACGCAAUGCUAACUUUUGGAUAAAUUGAGGAGUGUGUGCGUUUUAGAUUUUUGGCUAGGGGGUCAAAAUUUUUUCUAACAAAAUUAUGUUAAUAUAUUAUGUUCAAAAUAAUUUUUAUCUAUUUAAGUAUAUGACAUCAAAAACCAUCAAAUAUUAACUUUGAUUAUAAAUGUUUGUCUAUUUUAUGAAUAUAUAGCACAGUUAUACCAAAAAUUAAAACAUUUGAUUAAAUAUCUUAUAACAUUGCAAACCACCCAAAUUGUACAUUAUGAGAAAAUGAUCCAAUAUGUUACUCAUGUAAUAUAUAUAUAUAUAUAUAUAACUAUGCAAUAUAAGUAUAAUUAUUUUCAACUAAAAAAAGAUAAAAGUUACGUUAAUAUAUUUUGAAAUUUUAACCCCUUUCUUAAAAGUAAAUUGAGCAGUAUGUUCUUUUAUAGAACUAAAUUCAUUUACAAUCGAAUUAGUACUAAAUUUUAAACCAACUUCCUUUUCUAUGUACACAGUUAGGUAAUCAUUCAAAAAAUUAUCUUCCAUCUUGUUUUAGAGUUUUGUCUUGAUUAUUUUCAUAAUUGAAAAUACCUGUUCUAUAGUUACAAUUGAUAUAGGAAGAGUGAUAAUAAGUUUAAUCAAAUGGGGUAAGUUUUACAUUUGUAUUUGUUUUAGCCAAUUGAUAAUUGUGAAUUAAGCCUUUUUAUUAUAAUAUACCAAAUAGGGUCAAUUUACUAUGGAUGAUCAAAUUAUACAUUACUUUUUUGAAAGUUAAAUAAUUAGCACAAUAAAAAGAUAAAUAACUUUUUUGAAGAAAAAAAUUAAUUCAAAAGUGACUAAUUCAUAUAUAUAUAUAAACUUUCAUAAUAUAAACUAAAAUUGUAAAAUAUUAUGGGGGACCAAUUUUAUUUUACACAUAUAUUUACACACAAUAAAUUAAAAUUUUCAAAACGUAGAGAGGGGACCAUGGCCCUACUUAGCCCUCCCUUGGCUCCGUCAUUGGUUUUGUAGUUUUUGUCUUCCAGUCUCAAUUGGAAAAAUGCAGUGAGACUUUGUACCUUUUCCCUUCUUUUUUUUUUUUUAUGGGAGACUCAAAGCCCUGAAAUGAGGCACGAUCAAACGAGAGAACUUAACGAAAGGAAGAAAGUGAGGUUGAUAAUCACCCAGCUAAUGCUUUUGUGACACAGUUGGCUAAUGACUUUGUAAGUUCAGCUGGAUUGUAGGUAUAGUUUAUACAAUUUAAUACAUAGGGAUAGUAACUUUUAUUGGUAAAAAAAAAGGAAUAAUUUAUUGCCCUUUGAAGAAUUUUCUACAUAGAAAUCGUAAUGUUAAACCUAAUAUAUUUUCACAUACUUUAAGAAAACUAUCAAUCAGAUUUGUUUCUUCUCCAUUAGAUAAAAAAAAUAUUUACAUGGACAGGUAAAAAAAAAAAUCUUGGAUACCAGUUGAUUAAGUAACCUAUUUUUGAAGAAAUCUAGAAAAUUUUCCUAAAUUACUACAAUAUUGAGUAAAAUUGGAUUGAAUUGAUUUGGGUGGUUAGGGCAAUAGAGAAUCUAUUAGUCUUACUCUUCUUUGUUUUUCCUUUUUUUUUUUUUAAGAUUUGUUAACUUUAAUUUUAAAUAUGCAUUACCUCACUUCAUGGGGAUGGUAAAUUGAGUAAUUUAUGAAGGUUAUUUUUGUCAUUUUACACCACAAGGAGGGAGGUAUGUGUAAAUUUUUAAAUGUGGAGAAGGCUAUCUGCAAUUGUCAUGAAUCUCAUGGGAGGUCUAUGAAGUUAUUCCCAAAAAAAAAGGAUGACAGUUUUUAAGCAUAUCGGACCAUAAAAUUUACCACAUAAUUGAGUCCUUUCAUUUGACUGGGGGAUAAAUGGGGACAGCUAGAGGUGGUAAUUUGGAUUAAAAUCCAUUUAUCCAUCCAUAUAAUUCAUAAUUAAAUGGAUUUGAAUUAUCCAUUUAUAAUAUUGAUUUUAAAUAGUUGACCAAAGUAAAACCAUUAAAUUAAUUGGAUUUAUAUGGAUUAUCCACAAAAAUCAUAUAUAUCCAUUUGCUUAAAAAUCAAAUAAAAGAAACAAAAAAGAAAUAAUUAAAAGCGGACAUUAGACUGACUCCUUUGCCUCUUCACUCCCCAGUGGUUCUGCUAUCAAGCCCGCACAGUCACAUUCUAUCCAGGCUCCAUUUCCAUUUUCUAGUCAAUUUUGCCUUCCUUUGAAAAAAAAAAAAUUGAAAUCUAACUCUCUUUCAUCCCAAAAAAUCCUCAAUUUUAAUUCAUCAAUCAAAGUUGAGGCACCUACAUACUUCAGACUUGAUUGUAAAACAAGUGAAUGGUUUCUUAUUUUCAUGGACGAAUUCCAGAUUUUGUCUAUAUUGUGCUUGUGUAUAUACACCUGGUAGCUUUUAAUCCAUGUGGUUAUUUGUGAAAAAGAAUUUCAUGAGCUGGUUUCUCAUGAACAAACUCAGCCAUUAGACUUUUCCUGUGAAAAUGAAUUUCAUGAGCUGGUGCCUUUUGACUUAAUAUUAGUCAGAAGACAUCAUUCAUCAACUAUUCUUUCAUGAUCCGGUGCCCAUUGUUAAUAUAAAAUAAAGGAACAUGUGUCACUCUAUUACGUAAUGACAAAAUUUGUAAAUUUCCAAAAUACUGAUGUAUACUUACUUUAUGGAAUGAAAAAUGUAAUAUCUGAUGAGUAAUAAAGAAUAUAUAUAUAUGCACAUAUAUUUGAUUGGUACAGAAAACUAUCAUUAGGAGUCUAGGAUUUUUUUCAUAUAAAAAUAUAAGUAUUUUGUCAUCUUUCUCAUCUAAAUACCCUUAAAAUUUACAAGUACAUAAAAAAGUAUCUUCAUAUUACAAGAAAUGAUAAAAUAAAAAAAAUCAAAAUAUUUAAUUGGAUUAUAAAUAAAUAAUUAGUUUUUAUUUAAUUUAUUUAAAUUCAUUUAAUAAAUAAAUCUAAAUAAAUUGAAUAAAUUUUACCCAUCAUCCAUUAAAUCAAAACUAAUUAUGAACCAUUUAUUCAUAUUACUUCCUACAGCAAUAACUACCCGCAAAACCAAUUUUACGGCCGGACAAUUGAGACCAGACAUGAAUGUUCUGGGCCUCCAACCAAUUAACCACGUGGUAAACGAGUGGUCCAUUUAUUAGUGACCAGACACUAGUAAACGAGUGGUCCAUUAUUAACCACAUACUCACAUUCGUUACUUGGCCCAAAUUCAUUUCCUGUUACAAUCAUCAACGUGCCGUGUCAGGCAGGAGCAGUAAAAAGUUUUAACCAUGAAAUUUCUCAAUAGAUCCAAAAUGUACGUAGAUUAGAAGCAAAUAGGAAGAAUAACAGCCGUGGUUGAAAAAAAAAUUCACUGUUCCAUUCUCAAGAUUAAAAUGAGCAUUUCAUUCCUUUGCAAAUUGCAAGUGUAUCAUACUUGUUAGUACAUCAAAAUUACGACACUUGAUGCAAAAAGCAUGCAUCAGUAAAAUGAAAUGUAGUUUUACAAAAGUAAUAAAAGAAAAUCAGGUUGCACGUCUCAAAUUUUAAGUGGUCCAGGGUCUGGACAACAGACUUAAAAUUCAUAAAAGCAAAUUUUUUUUUUAUUUUUAUGAAAUAUGCUUUAAUACAGGAAACUUUUGCCUAUAUAAGGGACGAAGUAUCAGUCCUCCGGUAUGGAGCUGCAGAAAAUGGCUGUAGCAUUAGUAGCAUGCCUCUGCCUUCUAGUAUUCGGCGCCACAACUUCCCAAGCUGGCCACCCAGCUUACCAGGAUCCUAAACUAAUUAACCCUCUCCGCAUGAUGCCCGAAGCCUCCUCCGGCGACUCCGUCUCCGUAUAUAAUUGCCUGAGUUGGCGUCUGACCGUGGAAACCAACAACAAGCGCAACUGGAAUGGUGUCCCAGAAAUAUGCGGGAACUACGUUGAAAACUACAUGACUGGCAAGCAAUACGGUUAUGACUGUGAAGCCGUGGUUGAUAUUGCCAUCAAGUAUGUUAAGAGUCUCCCCAUACCCAGAGAUGGCAGGAGCAUUUGGAUCUUCGACAUCGAUGACACUGCACUUUCUAACUUGCCCUUCUUCU